Long non-coding RNA from Chiloscyllium plagiosum (whitespotted bambooshark), 462 nucleotides. RefSeq lists it as uncharacterized. The record is from RefSeq and is a predicted model, not a curated record. NCBI's taxonomy places the organism in Eukaryota, Metazoa, Chordata, Chondrichthyes, Orectolobiformes, Hemiscylliidae.
CCUCAGGACCCACUGUCUGCAAAAUGGAAAUUCAGCGUGUUCGGCUAAAACAGGAAUAAGAUCAGCUCUGCAAGCCUUGGAAACGUAGCUUGAAACUGGGAAUUGUAAUCGAUAUUUAGAAGGGGAGAAUCUUGAGGAGGAUUGGACUUCCACAUCUGCAUCAGGUGGUCAGUCAGCUCACGCACUUUCAGAUGAGGAACUUCAUGAAAAGGCACAAUCAUUUAUAUUGCACGAUUUUCUAUAACCCGGCGUUCCAUGGGAACGCAACUACCGUGUUGUAGGAGAACUACCGUAAAUGAUCUGGAUUUCCAGGUUCCCUUUCAGGAGGAGAAAUUCUUCACAGCAGCAUACAAGUAACCUCCGGCUAGAUAUUAGACAAUUCACUAAUAGAAUAUUAUGGAGCUUAUCCUUGUUCGAAAACCACAAAAUCAAUCAAACUUUUUGGAAGGGACAGGAAUAUGG